UACGAAGGGUGCAAGCGUUACUCGGAAUUACUGGGCGUAAAGCGUGCGUAGGUGGUUAUUUAAGUCCGUUGUGAAAGCCCUGGGCUCAACCUGGGAACUGCAGUGGAUACUGGAUGACUAGAAUGUGGUAGAGGGUAGCGGAAUUCCUGGUGUAGCAGUGAAAUGCGUAGAGAUCAGGAGGAACAUCCAUGGCGAAGGCAGCUACCUGGACCAACAUUGACACUGAGGCACGAAAAGCGUGGGGGAGCAAAACAGGAUUAGAUACCCGCGUAGUCC
RNAcentral lists this ribosomal RNA (276 nucleotides) under uncultured bacterium. RNAcentral describes it as "partial 16S ribosomal RNA". It matches the Rfam family "Bacterial small subunit ribosomal RNA", at positions 524 to 796 of the family's 1533-position model. The record is from RNAcentral.